CCUACGGGUGGCUGCAGUGGGGAGUAUUGGACAAUGGGGGGAACCCUGAUCCAGCCAUGCCGCGUGUGUGAAGAAGGCCCUCGGGUUGUAAAGCACUUUCAGUGAGGAAGAACGCCUGGUGGUUAAUACCCAUCAGGAAAGACAUCACUCACAGAAGAAGCACCGGCUAACUCCGUGCCAGCAGCCGCGGUAAUACGGAGGGUGCGAGCGUUAAUCGGAAUUACUGGGCGUAAAGCGCGCGUAGGUGGCUUGAUAAGCCGGUUGUGAAAGCCCCGGGCUCAACCUGGGAACGGCAUCCGGAACUGUCAAGCUAGAGUGCAGGAGAGGAAGGUAGAAUUCCCGGUGUAGCGGUGAAAUGCGUAGAGAUCGGGAGGAAUACCAGUGGCGAAGGCGGCCUUCUGGACUGACACUGACACUGAGGUGCGAAAGCGUGGGUAGCAAACAGGAUUAGAUACCCUAGUAGUC
This 465-nucleotide ribosomal RNA is filed under the name Vreelandella stevensii. RNAcentral's name for it is "partial 16S ribosomal RNA". It matches the Rfam family "Bacterial small subunit ribosomal RNA", at positions 338 to 795 of the family's 1533-position model. The record is from RNAcentral. Lineage: Bacteria; Pseudomonadati; Pseudomonadota; Gammaproteobacteria; Oceanospirillales; Halomonadaceae.